Non-coding RNA from Paramuricea clavata, 206 nucleotides. NCBI's taxonomy places the organism in Eukaryota, Metazoa, Cnidaria, Anthozoa, Malacalcyonacea, Plexauridae. The record is from the annotation of a GenBank genome assembly.
ACUUUAGACAUUACCCACUUGAAAUAAGUGAAUAUGCUGUCCGUGAAAGUUAUUCUGUUUUGGCUUUUCCAAAUACAAGAUUUGGGCAAGUACUUAUUUAGAAAAUUAAAUCGUUAAAGUUUCACAAAGAAUGAGUUUUUGUUUCCAAAAAUACAUUUCCUGAUUCCAUUGCUAUAUAUCCUGACCAUUGGUGUGGAAUUUACUAG